Long non-coding RNA from Oncorhynchus keta (chum salmon), 491 nucleotides. RefSeq lists it as uncharacterized. The transcript has 4 exons. NCBI's taxonomy places the organism in Eukaryota, Metazoa, Chordata, Actinopteri, Salmoniformes, Salmonidae. The record is from RefSeq and is a predicted model, not a curated record.
AUUAGGUGUUGUGUGAACCCACGUCCAGCUGUGGUCUGUGUGUUCAGUAUUAGGUGUUGUGUGAACCCACGUCCAGCUGUGGUCUGUGUGUUCAGUAUUAGGUGUUGUGUGAACCCACGUCCAGCUGUGGUCUGUGUGUUCAGUAUUAGGUGUUGUGUGAACCCACGUCCAGCUGUGGUCUGUGUGUUCAGUAUUAGGUGUUGUGUGAACCCACGUCCAGCUGUGGUCUGUGUGUUCAGUAUUAGGUGUUGUGUGAACCCACGUCCAGCUGUGGUCUGUGUGUUCAGUAUUAGGUGUUGUGUGAACCCACGUCCAGCUGUGGUCUGUGUGUUCAGUAUUAGGUGUUGUGUGAACCCACGUCCAGCUGUGGUCUGUGUGUUCAGUAUUAGGUGUUGUGUGAACCCACGUCCAGCUGUGGUCUGUGUGUUCAGUAUUAGGUGUUGUGUGAACCCACGUCCAGCUGUGGUCUGUGUGUUCAGUAUUAGGUGUUG